UACGGGAGGCAGCAGGGGGAAUAUUGCACAAUGGGCGCAAGCCUGAUGCAGCCAUGCCGCGUGUAUGAAGAAGGCCUUCGGGUUGUAAAGUACUUUCAGUCGUGAGGAAGGUGUUAAGGUUAAUAACCUUAGCAAUUGACGUUAGCGACAGAAGAAGCACCGGCUAACUCCGUGCCAGCAGCCGCGGUAAUACGGAGGGUGCGAGCGUUAAUCGGAAUUACUGGGCGUAAAGGGCACGCAGGCGGUUAAUUAAGUUGGAUGUGAAAUCCCCGGGCUUAACCUGGGAAUGGCAUUCAAGACUGGUUAGCUAGAGUCUUGUAGAGGGGGUAGAAUUCCAUGUGUAGCGGUGAAAUGCGUAGAGAUGUGGAGGAAUACCGGUGGCGAAGGCGGCCCCUGGGACAAAGACUGACGCUCAUGUGCGAAAGCGUGGGGAGCAAACG
This 440-nucleotide ribosomal RNA is filed under the name uncultured bacterium. RNAcentral describes it as "bacterial SSU rRNA". It matches the Rfam family "Bacterial small subunit ribosomal RNA", at positions 340 to 774 of the family's 1533-position model. The record is from RNAcentral.